GAUGAACGCUGGCGGCGUGCUUAACACAUGCAAGUCGAACGAAGCAUUUAAGACAGAUUACUUCGGUUUGAGGUCUUUUAUGACUGAGUGGCGGACGGGUGAGUAACGCGUGGGUAACCUGCCUCAUACAGGGGGAUAGCAGCUGGAAACGGCUGGUAAUACCGCAUAAGCGCACAGUACCACAUGGUACAGUGUGAAAAACUCCGGUGGUAUGAGAUGGACCCGCGUCUGAUUAGCUUGUUGGCGGGGUAACGGCCCACCAAGGCGACGAUCAGUAGCCGACCUGAGAGGGUGACCGGCCACAUUGGGACUGAGACACGGCCCAGACUCCUACGGGAAGCAGCAGUGGGGAAUAUUGCACAAUGGAGGAAACUCUGAUGCAACGACGCCGCGUGAGUGAAGAAGUAGUUCGCUAUGUAAAGCUCUAUCAGCAGGGAAGAUAGUGACGGUACCUGACUAAGAAGCUCCGGCUAAAUACGUG
Molecule: ribosomal RNA, 481 nt
Filed under: uncultured bacterium
Lineage: Bacteria
Description: partial 16S ribosomal RNA
Rfam family: Bacterial small subunit ribosomal RNA
Source: RNAcentral